CCAUCGGUUGUUCAGUGGUAGAAUGCUCGCCUACUACGCGGGCGGCCCGGGUUCGAUUCCCGGCUGAUGCA
Cordylochernes scorpioides is the source of this 71-nucleotide non-coding RNA. Lineage: Eukaryota; Metazoa; Arthropoda; Arachnida; Pseudoscorpiones; Chernetidae. The record is from the annotation of a GenBank genome assembly.